Molecule: ribosomal RNA, 468 nt
Filed under: uncultured bacterium
Lineage: Bacteria
Description: partial 16S ribosomal RNA
Rfam family: Bacterial small subunit ribosomal RNA
Source: RNAcentral
GACGAACGCUGGCGGCGCGCCUAACACAUGCAAGUCGAACGGAGCUGAGAGAAGCUUGCUUUUCUUAGCUUAGUGGCGAACGGGUGAGUAACGCGUGAGUAACCUGCCCUGGAGUGGGGGACAACAGUUGGAAACGACUGCUAAUACCGCAUAAGCCCACGAUCCGGCAUCGGAUUGAGGGAAAAGGAUUUAUUCGCUUCAGGAUGGACUCGCGUCCAAUUAGCUAGUUGGUGAGGUAACGGCCCACCAAGGCGACGAUUGGUAGCCGGACUGAGAGGUUGAAAGGCCACAUUGGGACUGAGACACGGCCCAGAAUCCUACGGGAGGCAGCAGUGGGGGAUAUUGCACAAUGGGGGAAACCCUGAUGCAGCGACGCCGCGUGGAGGAAGAAGGUUUUCGGAUUGUAAACUCCUGUCGUUAGGGACGAUAAUGACGGUACCUAACAAGAAAGCACCGGCUAACUACGUG